UCGGGAAUAUUGCGCAAUGGAGGAAACUCUGACGCAGUGACGCCGCGUAUAGGAAGAAGGUUUUCGGAUUGUAAACUAUUGUCGUUAGGGAAGAGAAAGGACAGUACCUAAGGAGGAAGCUCCGGCUAACUACGUGCCAGCAGCCGCGGUAAUACGUAGGGAGCGAGCGUUAUCCGGAAUUAUUGGGUGUAAAGGGUGCGUAGACGGGAGAACAAGUUAGUUGUGAAAUACCUCGGCUCAACUGAGGAACUGCAACUAAAACUGUACUUCUUGAGUGCAGGAGAGGUAAGUGGAAUUCCUAGUGUAGCGGUGAAAUGCGUAGAUAUUAGGAGGAACACCAGUGGCGAAGGCGACUUACUGGACUGUAACUGACGUUGAGGCACGAAAGUGUGGGGAGCAAACA
Molecule: ribosomal RNA, 403 nt
Filed under: uncultured bacterium
Lineage: Bacteria
Description: bacterial SSU rRNA
Rfam family: Bacterial small subunit ribosomal RNA
Source: RNAcentral